GUGGCCUAGUGGUUAGAGCGCCUGCCUAGGAUGUGGGAGGUUGUGGGUUUGAUCCCCCAUCAAGUCA
This is a non-coding RNA of Potamilus streckersoni, 67 nucleotides long. The record is from the annotation of a GenBank genome assembly. NCBI's taxonomy places the organism in Eukaryota, Metazoa, Mollusca, Bivalvia, Unionida, Unionidae.